GUGUAGGAAGUGAGAAAGUUCGCAUCUGGCUUCGGACCAGAUUUUGGGGGUGCGAGUCCCUCCUUAUACU
This 70-nucleotide transfer RNA is filed under the name Conus betulinus. RNAcentral describes it as "tRNA-Arg". It matches the Rfam family "tRNA". Rfam says of the family: Transfer RNA (tRNA) molecules are approximately 80 nucleotides in length. Their secondary structure includes four short double-helical elements and three loops (D, anti-codon, and T loops). Lineage: Eukaryota; Metazoa; Mollusca; Gastropoda; Neogastropoda; Conidae. The record is from RNAcentral.